RNAcentral lists this long non-coding RNA (704 nucleotides) under Brassica napus (rape). RNAcentral's name for it is "long non-coding RNA (BNAP_LNC011044)". The record is from RNAcentral. Lineage: Eukaryota; Viridiplantae; Streptophyta; Magnoliopsida; Brassicales; Brassicaceae.
GUUUCAAAGAAAAUAGCUUUAUUUGUAAUUUAGUGGAUAACAAUUUACUGACCACAACCACUACUGUCUAUCAAAUUGUCGACCACAUCCACAAGACUAUCUAAUUCAUGCCCACAUCCACAUGUUUUCGAAGACGAUUGAACAUUUACUCCCAAACACAACUAAACCACAACUAUCAUGACCACAAAUUUUGGGCAUACCAACACCAUUGUCCCAGCUCCUGUCAACUAAUUUCACUAACCACGACAAUUAUGCGUCCAUAACCAUGCCUUUCACUACAUCAAAAUUCAUGACCACAAUUGCUUCCUGCCGCACACAAUUCAACCACAACUACCUUAACCACGGCUUAGACACUAACCAUCAGAUCAAUCUUAAAAUAAAAAAAUCUAUCGACUGUGCUAAAAGCUCAGAGCUCCGUAAAUCUGACACAUAUUAAUUAUAAACCUACGUUACUGUUUUUAGUAGCGAUGUACUUCUUUUAACAAUAGCCGUCGGAUCCCUUUAAAAAAUAACUAAAUCUAACGGCUCGCCAUAAGGCCCACUGUCUCAUGCACCUACCCAUUAAUUGCAAUCGGACAAUCUAUCUAGAUACUCAAACCUAGUUCCUUCGACCCUUAUUUCUUAACCACGAAGUCCAUCCUAUCCAACGAAGGAACAUUUUUGGAAGAGAAAAUGAUAAAGUAAGUCACAAAGUACUCCUUAAG